RNAcentral lists this ribosomal RNA (381 nucleotides) under uncultured bacterium. RNAcentral describes it as "bacterial SSU rRNA". It matches the Rfam family "Bacterial small subunit ribosomal RNA", at positions 28 to 419 of the family's 1533-position model. The record is from RNAcentral.
GAUUAACGCUGGCGGCGUGCCUAACACAUGCAAGUCGAACGAGGUAGCAAUACCUAGUGGCAGACGGGUGAGUAACGCGUGGUCAACCUACCGUUGAGUGGGGGAUAACUAGCCGAAAGGUUAGCUAAUACCGCAUACGUCUCCGAGGGGCAUCCCUUGGCGAUAAAAGGAGCAAUCCGCUCGAUGACGGGACCGCGUCCCAUUAGCUAGAUGGUGGGGUAACGGCCUACCAUGGCACCGANGGGUAGCUGGUUUGAGAGAGCGACCAGCCACACUGGGACUGAGAAACGGCCCAGACUCCUACGGGAGGCAGCAGUGAGGAAUUUUCCGCAAUGGGCGCAAGCCUGACGGAGCGACGCCGCGUGUGGGAAGAAGGCCUUC